This 458-nucleotide ribosomal RNA is filed under the name uncultured bacterium. RNAcentral's name for it is "partial 16S ribosomal RNA". It matches the Rfam family "Bacterial small subunit ribosomal RNA", at positions 338 to 795 of the family's 1533-position model. The record is from RNAcentral.
CCUACGGGAGGCAGCAGUGGGGAAUAUUGCACAAUGGGGGAAACCCUGAUGCAGCGACGCCGCGUGAGUGAAGAAGUAAUUCGUUACGUAAAGCUCUAUCAGCAGGGAAGAAACACUGACCUUACGGUCAGCAGACGGUACCUGAGUAAGAAGCCCCGGCUAACUACGUGCCAGCAGCCGCGGUAAUACGUAGGGGGCAAGCGUUAUCCGGAUUUACUGGGUGGAAAGGGGGCGUAGACGGGGCGCCACGUCUGGAGUGAAAUGCCGCAGCUUAACUGCGGAACUGCUUUGGAAACUGGCGAACUAGAGUGCGGGAGGGGUAAGCGGAAUUGCUAGUGUAGCGGUGAAAUGCGUAGAUAUUAGGAGGAACACCGGUGGCGAAGGCGGCUUACUGGACCGUAACUGACGUUGAGGCUCGAAAGCGUGGGGAGCAAACAGGAUUAGAUACCCGUGUAGUC